Molecule: ribosomal RNA, 484 nt
Filed under: uncultured bacterium
Lineage: Bacteria
Description: partial 16S ribosomal RNA
Rfam family: Bacterial small subunit ribosomal RNA
Source: RNAcentral
AUUGAACGCUGGCGGCAGGCCUAACACAUGCAAGUCGAGCGGAUGAAGGGAGCUUGCUCCUGGAUUCAGCGGCGGACGGGUGAGUAAUGCCUAGGAAUCUGCCUGGUAGUGGGGGAUAACGUCUGGAAACGGGCGCUAAUACCGCAUACGUCCUGAGGGAGAAAGUGGGGGAUCUUCGGACCUCACGCUAUCAGAUGAGCCUAGGUCGGAUUAGCCAGUUGGUGGGGUAAAGGCCUACCAAGGCGACGAUCCGUAACUGGUCUGAGAGGAUGAUCGGUCACACUGGAACUGAGACACGGUCCAGACUCCUACGGGAGGCAGCAGUGGGGAAUAUUGGACAAUGGGCGAAAGCCUGAUCCAGCCAUGCCGCGUGUGUGAAGAAGGUCUUCGGAUUGUAAAGCACUUUAAGUUGGGAGGAAGGGCAGUAAGUUAAUACCUUGCUGUUUUGACGUUACCAACAGAAUAAGCACCGGCUAACUUCGUG